AUUGAACGCUGGCGGCAGGCCUAACACAUGCAAGUCGAACGGUAACAGGAAGACGCUUGCUUCUUUGCUGACGAGUGGCGGACGGGUGAGUAAUGUCUGGGAAACUGCCUGAUGGAGGGGGAUAACUACUGGAAACGGUAGCUAAUACCGCAUAACGUCGCAAGACCAAAGAGGGGGACCUUCGGGCCUCUUUCCAUCGGAUGUGCCCAGAUGGGAUUAGCUAGUAGGUGGGGUAACGGCUCACCUAGGCGACGAUCCCUAGCUGGUCUGAGAGGAUGACCAGCCACACUGGAACUGAGACACGGUCCAGACUCCUACGGGAGGCAGCAGUGGGGAAUAUUGCACAAUGGGCGCAAGCCUGAUGCAGCCAUGCCGCGUGUAUGAAGAAGGCCUUCGGGUUGUAAAGUACUUUCAGCGGGGAAGAAGGGAGUAAAGUUAAUACCUUCGCUCAUUGACGUUACCCGCAGAAGAAGCACCGGCUAACUCCGUG
RNAcentral lists this ribosomal RNA (490 nucleotides) under uncultured bacterium. RNAcentral's name for it is "partial 16S ribosomal RNA". It matches the Rfam family "Bacterial small subunit ribosomal RNA", at positions 30 to 507 of the family's 1533-position model. The record is from RNAcentral.